Molecule: long non-coding RNA, 1086 nt
Filed under: Canis lupus familiaris (dog)
Lineage: Eukaryota; Metazoa; Chordata; Mammalia; Carnivora; Canidae
Description: lncRNA (ENSCAFG00040004347.1)
Source: RNAcentral
AUGUCACGGGGGGGCACGGCUGGUGACGCGUCCCGGGCCAACGGCACCCAAAGCCAAGGCUGCGCGGGGCGUGCGGGGCUGCGAGCGCGGCGUCCGGCCGUGAUUCAGCAGCGGCCCGGGGGGGUGGGGGGGGGCCGGGGCCGCCGAGUGGGGCCGCGCGGGGCCGGGGAAGGUCAGCGAGGGCCGCGGGCGCCCCCGAGCCCGAGACGGGCCGGGCGGCGGGGCGGCGGGGAGCCGGGGCGGCGCGGGCGCCUACCUUUCCUGCUUUUCGGGGAGCUCCGCUUGCUCCGGGCGCUGGCUCGCUCUUCCUCAAUCGCAGCUGCUAUCUCGGGGUUGUCUUCCCCAUUGUACCAGACCAGGAGCUCCUCGCCCGGCGCGAUUGGCUGCGGGGACAGAAGAGACAGGCGCCGGGCCAAUCAGAGCGGCGGUUGUUGGCGGGGCGGGGCGGGGCGGGGCGGGGCGCGGGGCUGCGGGCGGGGCGGGGCUCGGGGCGGGGCUCCGGGCAGGGCGGGGGGCGGGGCUCCGGGCAGGGCGGGGGGUGGGGGGCGGGGCGCGGCGCCAGGCCCGCCCGGCAGGAAGGGCUCCCGAAGCUCGGCGGCGGCGGGCCGGGCCGGGCGGCGGCGGGCGGGGACCCUCUGCUGGAGGGAGGACCUCACGUCGCCCCGCCGCUCCCCGGGCCUGCGCAGCCGCGGCCCCCCGACGGCCCCCGCUCGGAGCCUCGGCCGCCCACGCGCAAGAACUGAGACGCGCAACCAUUUGCCCACGAACUGCAGGCUCGCGACCCUCGGAAAGCGCAGUGGGGAGAGCCGCGGCCGGAAGGAGAAGCGCUGGAAGCUAGCGACCUGCGCACGUCUCGGAGCAAGUUCAGGAGCAGGUUGGGCAGGACCGCAGCGCGCCGCCACGGAAUCCCAGAAGUGCUGCGGGACGGGCGGACGCGGGGUCCCGGGGUCCCGGCCACCGACCUGCUCCCGAGGACGGGCCGCUGCCUCGCCCUCGCACCGGACAGCUUUUAGACUCACAAGGAAAUUCCCAAAAAUAACAGAGAACAAACCAAAAACCCACAGGUACUAUGGUUCUAAAACAUGA